Bactrocera dorsalis (oriental fruit fly) is the source of this 15946-nucleotide long non-coding RNA. RefSeq lists it as uncharacterized. The transcript is spliced from 5 exons. Lineage: Eukaryota; Metazoa; Arthropoda; Insecta; Diptera; Tephritidae. The record is from RefSeq and is a predicted model, not a curated record.
AUUGGGUUGGGUUUAGUAUCGCGCCGGUUAAUUUUGGCUCACUGUAACUAAAGGAGAGAACCAAAUUGAAAAUUUUAAACACGCAUGUAUACUUAAAUUCUUGAACUUUAUUUUAAAACAUAUUUUAUAAAAAUCGGUUCACAAAUUUUUCCAAAAAUUCACUUAAAAAAAUGCUAUUUUUUGCAAAUUUCUCAAUAUAUGCUAGUGUAUUUUCAUCUGUUGUGCAUUGGGGUCGGCUUUAGUAUACGAUCCCACGAUUUCAGGGUUAAAAGUGGUAUGGUUAAAUAGAUCUGAUGCUCCAGAUUAAGAAAAUAGGCAAUAUUACGAUUUUUUUUUUGAUUAAAAGUCUUUUUUGCGUUGACGGCCUUCAGCCGCGCUUCAAAAAAAAAAUAACACUGGAUGAUCCAACACCGGCGUGUGUCAGGUUUUUUUUGAGUAAAAAUCUUUUUUUGCGUUGGUGGCCUUUGGCCGCGCUUCAAAAAAAUAACACUGGACGAUCCAACACCGGGGUGUGACGGAUUUUUUUUUUUUUGAGUAAAACUCGUGGCCGAUCCAACAUCGGGGUGUGUCGGAUUUUUUUUUUGAGUAAAGCUCCUUUUUGCGUUGGCGGCCUUCGGCCGCACUUCAAAAAAAUAACCCUGGCCGAUUCCGAUUACUUUGGCGGCGGGGUAAAAAAACCGAAUUUCCGUAUAAAUGGGGUAUGUAACGGAUAGGGGGGCUUCUAUAGAGGCGGAAUAUCCAAAAAUCAUGUGAAAAUAGCUAAUAUUUUUAAAAAUAUUCACGUUUAAAAAAUCAAAAAUUCGCACUAAGAACACAUGUUAUUUCUCCAUGUUUCACAGAAUUUUUCACGUUUUUCUUUCACUAUAAUUAAAUAUACACUCUUAACAUUGAAAUCAGUUCGAUUUUCACUUUCAUUUCUUAAUUUUUCAGCCAAAUUUAGUAAUUUAAAAUCACAUAUAAAAUUUAUGGCUGAAAAGUUUAGAGUGUUUAUAUUUACGAGGAAAACCAGCGUUGCCACACCUUAAAAACCAAAAGUGAAGAAUUUUUUAGCGUUUCACAGCGUUUUUAUAUCGAUAUUCGCAAUAUACGAGUCUGAUCGUGAAUUGGCAAAAAUGAGAAAUACAUAAUAGGAAAAUUUAUAAUUAAUUAUUAUUGCAGAAAGAAGAAGAAUUUGGACACAGAAGAAUUUUGAACACCGGGGCUCGAGCGCUCGAAAAAUAAUAUCCCUGGUCGGUCCAAAACCCCGGUGUUCAAAAUUCUUCUGUGUCCAAAUUCUUCUUCUUUCUGCAAUAAUAAUUAAUUAAAAAUUUUCCUAUUAUGUAUUUCUCAUUUUUGUCAAUUCACGAUCAGACUCGUAUAUUGAGAAUAUCGAUAUUUUUAUUUCUUUUUAUUUUUCCAAUUAUUAUUAUUUUUAUAAUAUGUAUUUCUCAUUUUUACAAAUUUUCUUUCUGACUCGAAUAUUGAGAAUAUCGAUAUUUUAAUUUCUUUUUAUUUUUCCAAUUAAUAACAUAAAAUUAAAUAACGCGCCAUACAUAUUCGUGAAUCGGAAUUAAAAACGAAUUUUUUAAGACAAUUCCCGUGAAAAUUGGUGCACGUUUUCGGAAAAGCCGCUCUGCUGAACAUUUACCGUAUAUAAUAUUGCUUAUUUGCUUGAUAAAUUUAUACAAGAAAAUAUCCAUAUGCAUGAAUAGAGGAAUUUUGCGAAAAAAGAGGAAUUUCACGAAUUGCCUUAUCAUCACAUGGCAGCGCUCCAUUUCGUCGUAAUUUUUGGUAAACAAAUGAGGUUCAAACAAGCGUAAAAUGUAAUUUUUAAAAUAAAGAUUUUUUAGGUAAAAAACCUGUUAAAUGUGUAAAAUGUGGUUUUAUUUAAAAGUUAAUAGUGUAAAUUAAUUAAUUUGAAGUGAAAAAUGUGAAAAAAGUGCGUUUAAUGUGGUGAAAUAGCGUCUUGAAAUGGUCCAAUUUUGCGAUUUUUCGGACUUUAAGGUCGAAUAUCUCGUAAACUAAGCGUUUGCGGACCCUAUAACCCUAUAUAUUUUUUAAUCAGGAGGACUUCCUCUUUCCAACGGUACCUUCAGAUCGCGGCGCCAAAGUAAUCGGAAUUGUGCCUAAUUUUUGAUCGGGCAGGCCACCAACGCCAAAAAGGAGUUUUACUCAAAAAAAUACCUGACACACCCCGGUGUUGGAUCGGCCAGGGGCAAUAUUACGAUUUUUCCGGCGCUGCGAUUUGAUGGUACGGAUGGAUAGAGGAGGUCCUCAGCAUUAAAAAAUGUAUACACAUAUACCGUCCUCAGACCAAUAGUUUUCGAGAUAUUUCACUUUAAAGUUCAAAAAUUUGUAAAAACAAUGCUCGUUAUUUCACUAUGUUUACCCCACUUUUCACAUAUUUUUUAAUUAAUAUAUAUUUAAUUACACUGUACACAUUCGUAUUUAUCAAAAAUUUACACUAAUUGUAUAUUUUUUAAGAAAAUAAAUAUACUUUAAAAAUUAUUUUGCACAUUCAAAGUUUCAAGUGAUUUGCGUGUUUACAUUUAUGACAAAUAGCAGUGUUGCCAUACUUUGUGUCAUGAAAAUAUAAUCAAAAAUGUGUAUAUUAUAUAUUAAAUAGAAAAAACGUAUUAUAGAAUGGAAAGUUUUUCAGUUUUUCUCCCUUUUUGAUUAAAAUAGGUGUUCGAUCGAUGAGGGUUAUUUUUUUGAAGCGCGGCCGAAAGCCGCCAGUGCAGAAAGUAGUUCGACACAAAAGAACUAUGAAUACCCCGGUGUUCGAUCGAUGAGGGUUAUUUCUUUUGAAGCGCGGCCGAAGGCCGCCAGUGCAGAAAAUAGUUCGACACAAAAGAACUAUGAAUACCCCGGUGUUCGAUCGAUGAGGGUUAUUUUUUUGAAGCGCGGCCGAAGGCCGCCAGUGCAGAAAGUAGUUCGACACAAAAGAACUAUGAAUACCCCGGUUUUCGAUCGAUGAGGGUUAUUUUUUUGAAGCGCGGCCGAAGGCCGCCAGUGCAGAAAGUAGUUCGACACAAAGGAAUGUUAUUUUUUAUCUUUAUUUAUCAAUUAACAUAAUAUACAAAAACCGUUUGUAUCAUUUUCUUUAUAAAUGUUAAAAAGAAAAAUUUUUCAUAGUUUUUUUAAAACAUAAUAUGUGGCAACACUGGUACUUGUAAUGACAUGUGAAGAAAAACAAAACAAAACAAAAUAGGACUAAAUUGCAUGUAAAAUUGUGGAACUUUAAAGUGAAAUAUCUCGGAAACUAUGCGUCUGAGGACGGUAUAUGUGUAUACAUUUUUUAAUCCUGAGGACCUCCUCUAUCCAUUCGUACCAUCAAAUCGCGGCGCCGGAAAAACCGUAAUCGUGCCUAUAAAAUGCUUAUUUUAAGCAAAUAACUAAAUAAUUACUAAAAAAUAAAUAUGUAGAAACAAUGUAAUGAAGUAUAAGUGCACAAAAAGUGUAUAAUAUGAAAUAAAUAGUUACUAGAAAUCGAGAAAUUGCAAGAUAAAAUUUGCAACUUUAAAUGCAAAUAUCUCGAAAACUAUAAGUUUGCGGCGGCAAAAAUUAUAUAUUUUCUUAAUCUGGAGCAUCAGCCCUAUUCAACCAUAUCACUUUUAACCCUGAAAUCGUGGGAUCGUAUACUAAAGUUUCCCCGUGCAUUGUACCAAACCAAUUAUGGAUACAUUUUCACGCACAUAUAUUACUUAUGAAUUAUAAAAACCACUAGUAAUGUUUUUAAUUGCUUUUGAUUGUUAAUUUCUUUGUAAAUCUUUAAAUAAAAUACACCUUUUUCUGCAUUAAGUUCAAUAAUGCGAAAAACCAAAAUGACUGCCUAAUUUGAACUGUCAAAUUGCCGAGAAAGCACGAACAAAAGGGAAUAAAUUAAACCCAGUUAGCAACAAAUGUGUGAAGUGAACGCGAAAAGGUGUUCAGUGCUAAAAUACUGUGGAUGGCGUAGCCGGUGUUGGACCGGCCAGGGUUAUUUUUUUAAAGCGCGGCCGGAGGACGCCCACGCAAAAAGAGUUCUAUGCGAAAAAAAAAUUGAUACACCCCCGUGUUGGACCGAUCAGGGUUUUUUUUUGAAGCGCGGCCGAAUGCCGCCAACGCAGAAAGGAGUACUACACGAAAGUACAUCAGUCACCCCGGGUUAUUUUUUUAGGGCGCGGCAAAGCAAUCGCUCUCAUCACGAAAAAAGUGUCCAACGUGGCAAAAAAUGAAAGAUUUUCUCACCACCCAAUAUGAAAUUGCGGAAAGGUUAGAAGAAAAAAUAAUCAAAACUAAGUACAAACACGACCAAAAUGGAAGCUUAAAUAGACCCCAACUAGUGUUCUGCGCCCUCGGCUAGUUCACCAACAUUAAGCCGAAUUACAUGUUUUUUGUCUACAUACAAAACUAGGCAAAAUAUUCGCCUAGGGGGCCCAGGAUGUUUAAAUGAGUUAAGCAUCCUCCCCCUCUACUCGGUAAAAGUGGUGCAUCUUAAUAACACAGCUCAAUUCACCACAGUUGAUGACACUUCAAUAGAAUUCACCUCAUCAGUACACCCACUAAACAAAAAGGAGGGACAACGGAAUAGCAGACUACUUUCGUUACACACAUUCAAUUCGAUCUUCACAAGCAACACAUGCAAUUCGUCACGUAUACUGCGCACGUCUACUCUCCGCUUACAACCCCCGUCCCGCGCACUACAGCAAGCUUUUGGUCAACAGCGAUCUGACGCGCUAUCCACAUACGCUCGUUUAUGCUGGUUCCCCAAAUAAUUGAACAUUUAAUGUAAAUAAAAUAAACUGUGUAAAAAUACAUACAUAUAAAGACUCGUAAUAAAUUCUAUUUUUUCAUACUACUCAAGUAACCUGGUACUUUUAUUUCAAAUGUGCAUGACAUUGUAUCCAAUGGUUACAAACUUAUUCAGCUGGGUUGCAUUGGUUUCAGUUUGUAUGGAAAAAUGAGCAAAAACACUGAUUUUUGGUCAUUUUCAAAGGGCUCCCUACAGGUCUAUAUGUUGCUCUAGGGGGUCGAGGGAGGGCUUAUUUAAAAGUUCGAUCCUUCCUCUUUCCAAUAAGAGGGCGUGAGGGGGGUAGCCCUCCCCUGUUUUUCUCCAUAAACGACACUAAACCGGCGCAGUACUAAACAUUUCGCUAAAUAUUUUUUUUAUUUGAUGUUUUAAACAAUAAUAAAGAAGCAGGAAUAGCUAAUGAUGUGAAACUCUAUUAAUUUGUGGUUAAAUAGGCUGAUAGAGUUAGCGCUCCUGAAUGACGGAUAAAAAAAAGUUAGGUGUGAAAAAAGUAAAAAAAAAUGUUCUGAAAUCGGAGCGUCAUCAGAAAUAUAUCUAAAAAGUGGGUCAGGUGGCGGAAUCUCGUUGAAGGUGUUGAUAGCUUGAAUGUAAAUGGCGGUCAGUGCCUGUCGAAAGUUAGUUGCGUAGUUAAGGAAAGACCUCUAAGGAAAAACCUCUUGAUGUUCCUAGGAGGCGAUUCCGCUCCAAGCAGUUGGCUGCAAAGGUGAUUUCUAGGAAAAUGUCCCAGUGGGAACUGCUUUUAGAGGAGUCCAUUAUGCUCCUUUACCUGAAGCAUAACCGUCUCACUAUGUAUGUGUUCGAUGGGGGACAUCAAGAGGCAUCCUGUCGUUGUCCGGAGUCCAAUGUUCUGGCAGGUCUGAAGUCAGAGUGGAAUUGUUUUCUGUCAUUCGGUCCCUCGGCAAUAUUACGAGUCUUGCGGCGCUGCGAUUUGAUGGUACGGAUGGAUAGAGGAGGUCCUCAGCAUUAAAAAAUGUAUACACAUAUACCGUCCUCAGACCAAUAGUUUUCGAGAUAUUUCACUUUAAAGUUCAAAAAUUUGUAAAAACAAUGCUCGUUAUUUCACUAUGUUUACCCCACUUUUCACAUAUUUUUUAAUUAAUAUAUAUUUAAUUACACUGUACACAUUCGUAUUUAUCAAAAAUUUACACUAAUUGUAUAUUUUUUAAGAAAAUAAAUAUACUUUAAAAAUUAUUUUGCACAUUCAAAGUUUCAAGUGAUUUGCGUGUUUACAUUUAUGACAAAUAGCAGUGUUGCCAUACUUUGUGUCAUGAAAAUAUAAUCAAAAAUGUGUAUAUUAUAUAUUAAAUAGAAAAAACGUAUUAUAGAAUGGAAAGUUUUUCAGUUUUUCUCCCUUUUUGAUUAAAAUAGGUGUUCGAUCGAUGAGGGUUAUUUUUUUGAAGCGCGGCCGAAAGCCGCCAGUGCAGAAAGUAGUUCGACACAAAAGAACUAUGAAUACCCCGGUGUUCGAUCGAUGAGGGUUAUUUCUUUUGAAGCGCGGCCGAAGGCCGCCAGUGCAGAAAAUAGUUCGACACAAAAGAACUAUGAAUACCCCGGUGUUCGAUCGAUGAGGGUUAUUUUUUUGAAGCGCGGCCGAAGGCCGCCAGUGCAGAAAGUAGUUCGACACAAAAGAACUAUGAAUACCCCGGUUUUCGAUCGAUGAGGGUUAUUUUUUUGAAGCGCGGCCGAAGGCCGCCAGUGCAGAAAGUAGUUCGACACAAAGGAAUGUUAUUUUUUAUCUUUAUUUAUCAAUUAACAUAAUAUACAAAAACCGUUUGUAUCAUUUUCUUUAUAAAUGUUAAAAAGAAAAAUUUUUCAUAGUUUUUUUAAAACAUAAUAUGUGGCAACACUGGUACUUGUAAUGACAUGUGAAGAAAAACAAAACAAAACAAAAUAGGACUAAAUUGCAUGUAAAAUUGUGGAACUUUAAAGUGAAAUAUCUCGGAAACUAUGCGUCUGAGGACGGUAUAUGUGUAUACAUUUUUUAAUCCUGAGGACCUCCUCUAUCCAUUCGUACCAUCAAAUCGCGGCGCCGGAAAAACCGUAAUCGUGCCUAUAAAAUGCUUAUUUUAAGCAAAUAACUAAAUAAUUACUAAAAAAUAAAUAUGUAGAAACAAUGUAAUGAAGUAUAAGUGCACAAAAAGUGUAUAAUAUGAAAUAAAUAGUUACUAGAAAUCGAGAAAUUGCAAGAUAAAAUUUGCAACUUUAAAUGCAAAUAUCUCGAAAACUAUAAGUUUGCGGCGGCAAAAAUUAUAUAUUUUCUUAAUCUGGAGCAUCAGCCCUAUUCAACCAUAUCACUUUUAACCCUGAAAUCGUGGGAUCGUAUACUAAAGUUUCCCCGUGCAUUGUACCAAACCAAUUAUGGAUACAUUUUCACGCACAUAUAUUACUUAUGAAUUAUAAAAACCACUAGUAAUGUUUUUAAUUGCUUUUGAUUGUUAAUUUCUUUGUAAAUCUUUAAAUAAAAUACACCUUUUUCUGCAUUAAGUUCAAUAAUGCGAAAAACCAAAAUGACUGCCUAAUUUGAACUGUCAAAUUGCCGAGAAAGCACGAACAAAAGGGAAUAAAUUAAACCCAGUUAGCAACAAAUGUGUGAAGUGAACGCGAAAAGGUGUUCAGUGCUAAAAUACUGUGGAUGGCGUAGCCGGUGUUGGACCGGCCAGGGUUAUUUUUUUAAAGCGCGGCCGGAGGACGCCCACGCAAAAAGAGUUCUAUGCGAAAAAAAAAUUGAUACACCCCCGUGUUGGACCGAUCAGGGUUUUUUUUUGAAGCGCGGCCGAAUGCCGCCAACGCAGAAAGGAGUACUACACGAAAGUACAUCAGUCACCCCGGGUUAUUUUUUUAGGGCGCGGCAAAGCAAUCGCUCUCAUCACGAAAAAAGUGUCCAACGUGGCAAAAAAUGAAAGAUUUUCUCACCACCCAAUAUGAAAUUGCGGAAAGGUUAGAAGAAAAAAUAAUCAAAACUAAGUACAAACACGACCAAAAUGGAAGCUUAAAUAGACCCCAACUAGUGUUCUGCGCCCUCGGCUAGUUCACCAACAUUAAGCCGAAUUACAUGUUUUUUGUCUACAUACAAAACUAGGCAAAAUAUUCGCCUAGGGGGCCCAGGAUGUUUAAAUGAGUUAAGCAUCCUCCCCCUCUACUCGGUAAAAGUGGUGCAUCUUAAUAACACAGCUCAAUUCACCACAGUUGAUGACACUUCAAUAGAAUUCACCUCAUCAGUACACCCACUAAACAAAAAGGAGGGACAACGGAAUAGCAGACUACUUUCGUUACACACAUUCAAUUCGAUCUUCACAAGCAACACAUGCAAUUCGUCACGUAUACUGCGCACGUCUACUCUCCGCUUACAACCCCCGUCCCGCGCACUACAGCAAGCUUUUGGUCAACAGCGAUCUGACGCGCUAUCCACAUACGCUCGUUUAUGCUGGUUCCCCAAAUAAUUGAACAUUUAAUGUAAAUAAAAUAAACUGUGUAAAAAUACAUACAUAUAAAGACUCGUAAUAAAUUCUAUUUUUUCAUACUACUCAAGUAACCUGGUACUUUUAUUUCAAAUGUGCAUGACAUUGUAUCCAAUGGUUACAAACUUAUUCAGCUGGGUUGCAUUGGUUUCAGUUUGUAUGGAAAAAUGAGCAAAAACACUGAUUUUUGGUCAUUUUCAAAGGGCUCCCUACAGGUCUAUAUGGGGCUCUAGGGGGUCGAGGGAGGGCUUAUUUAAAAGUUCGAUCCUUCCUCUUUCCAAUAAGAGGGCGUGAGGGGGGUAGCCCUCCCCUGUUUUUCUCCAUAAACGACACUAAACCGGCGCAGUACUAAACAUUUCGCUAAAUAUUUUUUUUAUUUGAUGUUUUAAACAAUAAUAAAGAAGCAGGAAUAGCUAAUGAUGUGAAACUCUAUUAAUUUGUGGUUAAAUAGGCUGAUAGAGUUAGCGCUCCUGAAUGACGGAUAAAAAAAAGUUAGGUGUGAAAAAAGUAAAAAAAAAUGUUCUGAAAUCGGAGCGUCAUCAGAAAUAUAUCUAAAAAGUGGGUCAGGUGGCGGAAUCUCGUUGAAGGUGUUGAUAGCUUGAAUGUAAAUGGCGGUCAGUGCCUGUCGAAAGUUAGUUGCGUAGUUAAGGAAAGACCUCUAAGGAAAAACCUCUUGAUGUUCCUAGGAGGCGAUUCCGCUCCAAGCAGUUGGCUGCAAAGGUGAUUUCUACGAAAAUGUCCCAGUGGGAACUGCUUUUAGAGGAGUCCAUUAUGCUCCUUUACCUGAAGCAUAACCGUCUCACUAUGUAUGUGUUCGAUGGGGGACAUCAAGAGGCAUCCUGUCGUUGUCCGGAGUCCAAUGUUCUGGCAGGUCUGAAGUCAGAGUGGAAUUGUUUUCUGUCAUUCGGUCCCUCGGCAAUAUUACGAGUCUUGCGGCGCCGCGAUUUGAUGGUACCGAUGGAUAGAGGAGGUCCUCAGGAUUAAAAAAAUGUGUUGACAUAUACCGUCCUCAGACUUAUAGUUUUCGAGAUAUUUCACUUUAAAGUUCAAAUAUUUGUUAAAACAAUGCUCGUUAUUUCACUAUGUUUAACCCACUUUUCACACAUUUUUUAAUUAAUAUAUAUUUAAAUACACUGUAGACAUUCGUAUAUAUCAAAAAUGUAUACUAAUUGUAUAUUUUUUAAGAAAAUAAAUAUACUUUAAAAACAAUUUUGCACACAAAGGAACUAUGAAUAUCCCGGUGUUCGAUCGAUGAGGGUUAUUUUUUUUGAAGCGCGGCCGAAGGCCGCCAGUGCAGAAAGUAGUUCGACACAAAGGAACUAUGAAUACCCCGGUGUUCGAUCGAUGAGGGUUAUUUUUUUUGAAACGCGGCCGAAGGCCGCCAGUGCAGAAAGUAGUUCGACACAAAGGAACUAUGAAUACCCCGGUGUUCGAUCGAUGAGGGUUAUUUUUUUUGAAACGCGGCCGAAGGCCGCCAGUGCAGAAUAUAGUUCGACACAAAGGAACUAUGAAUACCCCGGUGUUCAAUCGAUGAGGGUUAUUUUUUUUUAAGCGCGGCCGAAGGCCGCCAGUGCAGAAUAUAGUUCGACACAAAGGAACUAUGAAUACCCCGGUGUUCGAUCGAUGAGGGUUAUUUUUUCUGAAACGCGGCCGAAGGCCGCCAGUGCAGAAAGUAGUUCGACACAAAGGAACUAUGAAUACCCCGGUGUUCGAUCGAUGAGGGUUAUUUUUUUUGAAACGCGGCCGAAGGCCGCCAGUGCAGAAAGUAGUUCGACACAAAGGAAUAUUAUUUUUUAUCUUUAUUUAUCAAUUAACAUAAUAUACAAAAACCAUUUGUACCAUUUUCUUUAUAUAUGUAUGUUAAACAGAAACAUUUUUAAUAGUUUUUUUAAAAGACAAUAUGUGGCAACACUGGUAUUUGUCAUGACAUGUAAAGAAAAACAAAACAAAACUAAAUAAGAGUGAAUUGCAUGUAAAAUUGUGGAACUUUGAAGUGAAAUAUCUCGAAAACUAUGCUUCUGAGGACGGUAUAUGUAUAUAACGGGUGAUUUUUUUGAGGUUAGGAUUUUCAUGCAUUAGUAUUUGACAGAUCACGUGGGAUUUCAGACAUGGUGUCAAAGAGAAAGAUGCUCAGUAUGCUUUGACAUUUCAUCAUGAAUAGACUUACUAACGAGCAACGCUUGCAAAUCAUUGAAUUUUAUUACCAAAAUCAGUGUUCGGUUUUUUUUUUUUUUUUCGGACAAAUUUUGUUCAGCGAUGAGGCUCAUUUCUGGUUGAAUGGCUACGUAAAUAAGCAAAAUUGCCGCAUUUGGGGUGAAGAGCAACCAGAAGCCGUUCAAGAACUGCCCAUGCCUCCCGAAAAAUGCACUGUUUGGUGUGGUUUGUACGCUGGUGGAAUCAUUGGACCGUAUUUUUUCAAAGAUGCUGUUGGACGCAACGUUACGGUGAAUGGCGAUCGCUAUCGUUCGAUGCUAACAAACUUUUUGUUGCCAAAAAUGGAAGAACUGAACUUGGUUGACAUGUGGUUUCAACAAGAUGGCGCUACAUGCCACACAGCUCGCGAUUCUAUGGCCAUUUUGAGGGAAAACUUCGGACAACAAUUCAUCUCAAGAAAUGGACCCGUAAGUUGGCCACCAAGAUCAUGCGAUUUAACGCCUUUAGACUAUUUUUUGUGGGGCUACGUCAAGUCUAAAGUCUACAGAAAUAAGCCAGCAACUAUUCCAGCUUUGGAAGACAACAUUUCCGAAGAAAUUCGGGCUAUUCCGGCCGAAAUGCUCGAAAAAGUUGCCCAAAAUUGGACUUUCCGAAUGGACCACCUAAGACGCAGCCGCGGUCAACAUUUAAAUGAAAUUAUCUUCAAAAAGUAAAUGUCAUGAACCAAUCUAACGUUUCAAAUAAAGAACCGAUGAGAUUUUGCAAAUUUUAUGCGUUUUUUUUUUUUAAAAAGUUAUCAAGCUCUUAAAAAAUCACCCUUUAUAUUUUUUAAUCCUGAGGACCUCCUCUAUCCAUCGGUAUCCAUCAAAUCGCGGCGCCGCAAGAAUGGUAAUCGUGCCGGUCCCUCGAUAUCCUGUUACGAUUUUCAUGCAAAUGCGACAAUUUUUCACAAUAACAUGUAUAGCUUUUAUAUACAAACAUUUUUAAAUAUAUGUUAAUUCAGCUCGUUUCUAUUCGUUUACUAAUAUUAUUGGUAUAGUUCAUAUAGAAUCCAUGUUUUCUCGCACAAUAGUUCUGCAGCAUUUUAAAUGGAAUUGUAUAUUGCGACAGUAUCAUUGAAAUACGUUACAUCAAGAGAAUCUGAAGCAUCCAUUCCGUUGGAGAGACGAAGUCCUGAUUAAAAAAUAUCGAAAGGUUAUAGGUACUGCAAACGCUUAGUUUACGAGCUAUUUCACUGCAUUUAACACACUUUAGCAGAUUUUUCACUUCAAAUUCAGGGAAAACUUUAGAAUACCGUUCCAGGCUUUCGGAAAUGAAAUGGGUAUGGUGGGAUAGAGGAGGUUCCUCAGAUAAAGAGUAUAAAUUAUAGCCGCAGAAAACCAAUAGUUUUCGAGAUAUUAAAGUUGAAAAUUACCGCUAUAUGAAUUACGAAUUUUUUGGAAUUAAAAUUAAUUUUACACUUAUAUUUUUAAUUUUUAUGUUCACUAACACUUCAUUAAAACGUUUGUUCACAUUUUUUUUACAUUAUAUUCGUAUAAGCGCAAAACUAGUUUUAUAUCAAUAUUAAACCUAUUGUCCAAAUCUAUUUAUUUGAUAACAACUAAAGGGUUGCAAUCUGUCAAAUAAUCAAUGCUUCAAAAAAUAGCACUGGUCGGUUCAACACUCCUUGUCAAGUUUUUUCGCUUUAAAUUUCUUUUUUUAAUCUUCUAUUGUAUUUUUGUUAGUUUGUUCAAAUAUCUUAGAAUGGUAACACUAAUUAUAUGACAGUUGGUGGGGUUUUCGGGUCGGCUUUAGUAUACCGCCCCAGGAUUUCGGGAAUAAAAUGGGUAUGGUCGGAUAGAGGAAGGUCUCCAGAUCACGAAUAUAUGGUUAUAGCCGCAGGAAGCUUAUAGUUUCCGAGUUAUUCGCGUUUAAAGUUGAAAAUUUGCAAUAUUUUAUUUACAUAUUUUCGAUAUAUAAAAUUAAUUUUGCACUUAUAUUUUUCAAUUUUAUAUACACUAACACAUCACUUAUUCAUUUGUAUCAUAUGUAAAAAUAAAUUUGUAAAUUUGUCAAAUAAUCAGUGUACCAUACUAAAAUAUUUUACAAACUAAAACAAAAAAAUAUAAGGAAAUAUUAUACCCUAAAUACAGGAAACAUAAUCGUUGAUAAACAAUAAAAAAUAUAUAAAAAAUUUAAGCGGCCUGAAUGCCGCCAAUGUAAAAAUAAGUUCUACGGGAGAAACAGAAAACGUAUACACCCGGUGUUGGAUAGACAAGGGUAAUUUUUUUGAAGCAAUGCCGAAGGCCGCCGACGCAAAAAGGAAUUCUACGCGAAAAUAAUUUGAUACACCCCGGUGUUGGACCGACCAGAGUUAUUUUUUUUUUGAAGCGCGACCGAAGGCCGCCCACGCAAAAAGGAGUUCUACGCGAAGAAGUAGCAAUGUCAUAGACGGUAUGUUAGUUAGGUUAGGUUAGUAUGGUAACACUGAUUAUUUGACAAUUUGUAAUUUAUUUGUUAUUCUAAAAUAAUAAUAAUUCAACAAUAAUUUAAAUGUAUAUUAAAAGCUAUUUUUGCACUAUAUUAUAUAAAAUAAAUGUGUGCAACUGAACAAGUGAUGUGUAAGUGUAUAUAAAAUUUAAAAAUAAAAGUGCAAAAUUAUUUUUAUAUAUCAAAAAUAUGUAAAUAAAAUUUGCAAAUUUUCAACUUUUAAAGCGAAUAACUCGGAAACUAUAAGCUUCCUGCGGCUAUAACCAUAUACAUAUAUCCUUGAUCCGGAUAAUCUCCUCUAUCCGACCAUAUCCUUUUUAUUCUUGAUAUCCUGGGACGGUAUACUAAACUCUUCCCUGUUUUUCUUGUAGCGCUGCCGUGUAUAUUUCUAAGCAGGAACAGCGAAAAACGUAGAAUCGUGGCCCGUGUCAGCUGACACGACCUAUCUUAUGGGCGCGCAAUGUAAGUGAACAGCGAAAAACGCUACUCCUUUCUCUCUUUACCGUAAGAUGCCGUGAGAAUCUACGGCAUUUGGAUUUUUGCCGUAGAAACGUGUCAGCUGAUCGCUCUCUCACAACGCAGGGUUGCCAAUCCCGAUAUACUGUAGUAAUUAUAAAAGUUCUUCAAUAUGUUUGAAAUUUUCUUAAUAUAACUCAAAAUCAGAGUCGGAAGCUAUUAUAUAUACAUAGAUAUGUACAAAACUCUAUAUGCGUAUAGAGCAAUGGCAACAUUGUUCAAAUGAAAACAAAAAAGAUGGCUGAUUUCUGCUUUUUACCACGGGCUCAACUUUUAACACAUUUUGCUGGAAAAGGAAGGAAGGGAGUAGAGUUUUUCACUGUUCCAGCUAAAGGCACUCUGUGCACUGUUGGGAUUUUCACGACUUUCUUGUAAUAUUUUACGCUCUUCACUUACUGUCAGUAACUUUGGUCGUUCAAACAGUUUUAAUGCGCACAAAACCAUGAUCACAAUCAAAAUGAAUGCAACUAAAAUUAAAUUAAAUCCUAAUAUGCAGCCGUAAUAUUAUUGAAAAAUAGAAAAACAAACAAAAUUGGCACCAACCAGCAGAAUUAAAACCGAAAACAAAAUACUUUUGUGAGCCAAAGUUCCGCCGAAAUGCACAUGUUUUGUUUGAUCUGCAUAACGGGACAAUAUUUAUUUUCAUUGUUUACUGUUUUUUUUUUUUAAGAAAAAUUGGAUAAAUAAACUUACACAUUUAAAUAAAAGAAAUCGCCUACUUUAACCACUGAAAAUUUCAAUAAAAAGAAUGAUAAGGGUUAUGCAAAACAAUUCUGUGAACCACUGUAUCUACUAACAGUUAAGUUGCAUACUAACAAUUAUAUAGAGUUAUGCCAGUUUUGUAUAGAUUGAAGUUUAAGGUGAGUAGGGGUGUGGGUGGAUAGAAGCAGUUCUCCAGGGAAACUUAUAGUUCUUGAAAUUUUUACAUUAAAACUUAAAAAAGUCAACUAUGUAAAGUAUAUAAUUUUUCAAUGUAUGAAAAAUUUUAUAUCACUAUAUUGUCCAGUUUUAUAUCCACCAAGACAAAAUUAAUUUUUUUCUGCAUUAUUAAGUAGUAUCACAAAUACAUUAUUUAGCGAGCCGAUAUCGGCGGGUCCGACAAAUGAGUAGCUUCUUGAAGAGAAAGGAUGUGUACAAAAUUUCAGAUCGAGAGCUCAAAAAAUGAGGAACCACAGUGCGCUAAUUUUGGUUAGCCGCGCUCUUAAAAUAGUAAGUAGCUUUCACGCCAUAGUUUUAAUACAGUGCGCGAAUUUUCGCUAACCGAGCUCUAAAAUUAUAGAGAAAAUAACUGUGCACGCAACAGUUUUAAUAUUUUUGUGAACAAUAGUUGCUUGGUAAUAUAGUACGUAGAAAGUUAGCAUGCAUUCAAAAACAAGAGCAUAGCGGUACUAAAAUAUAAAAAUGUGAAUAUUGUCUGGCAACUGGUGCGAACUUUAGUUAGCCGCAGUCUUAUUUUCAUUGUUUUUGCGGUAAGUUCUCCGCUUUUUUAUAGUUUUUUGUGAAGUUUUGUUAACAUUUACGUUUAUUCAAUUUGAUUAUAUUCAGUGGACAACAGUGUGAUUGAAAUGGCUAGUAAAAAGCUUUUAAAUGAUGUGGAAAAGGGCCAAAUUGAAAAUUUGAAGGAAAUGGUCUUUCUAACAGAGCAAUCAGCUGGCAAAUUAAAAGACCAGAGAAAGUCGUGAGAAAUUUGAGAUUAUCCAAUAAAAAAUUAAGAAAAGAUACCACAAUAACUCGCCGGCAAGUUAAUAUUAUUUGAGAAGAAGCUACAAAAAAAUCGGUUGAGUGCCUCUAAAAUAGUAGCAAAAUUAAUCUCAGAAUUGGAAAAAGAAUAGUUCACAAGAUUUUAGCUGCAGACAGAAACAUAAUAAAGUGGAAAAGGGAAUUAAAAAAAACACAACUUACGCAUGUCCAUAAAGUAGUCAGACUUAAAUUUGCAAAGGAGAUAUGAGUUGGACCGAUUGCUGGCACGAUGUGAUUUUUUCUGAUGAAAAAAAACUCUGAUGCGUUCAGUUAUUACUGGCAUGAUUUGCACUAAAACAAUCCCUCUAGAAUGAGACGUAAUUUCGCGGGUGGAUUUGUGAUGCAGGACAAUGCCAGCAUCCAGGUUUCCAAGAAGGCAAAAGAUUUUUUUGCUUCGCGCUCUAUACCGUUGCUAGGAUGGCCAGCCAAAAGUGCAGAUUAAAACCCCAUUGAAAAUGUUUGGGGCAUACUACGUACACCCCGCGCAGGAGCUAAAAACCGUAAUUUUGGACAAAGGUAUACUGCAAAAGUUAAUUGACUCGAUCCCAGCCAGAAUUUUCCAAAUAAUUAUUAAGAAAAUGGGAUGCAACUUCAUAUUAGAAGCGCAAAAUUUGCUAAAUUUUUAUAAUGCGGCUAAGUAAAGUUCGCAUAUAGUUAAGUUGUAUUUUCAAUAUUUUAACUUUUUGUUUCUGUAAUACAUUUGAAAUGUAAAAUAUUAAACCACCAAAAAGCAUGUCCGACUAACCAAAAAAAACAACAGUUGUUAGGUAAUAUACCAUGCACAGAGCAGUUAGCAUGUCUACAAAAAUAAAAGCACAGCGGUACUAAAAUAACAAAA